Molecule: long non-coding RNA, 526 nt
Filed under: Helianthus annuus (common sunflower)
Lineage: Eukaryota; Viridiplantae; Streptophyta; Magnoliopsida; Asterales; Asteraceae
Source: RNAcentral
GCACAACCUACUACACUUCCUUUCUUUUCUAUGCUAGAAACUAAUCGACAGCUGUAUAUUAUUGGAGUUAGUUUUUGAUUCACACAAAGGGCUAUUGUUUAAAUAUGACUAGAUUCUAGAAUCGGAUGCCCACCACUGAGUGCUCUCGACUUCGAUUGUUGAGCUGUCAAAGGCCUUAGAUCCAGGUUUGUAAUCAUGAGGAAGUGACGGUUUCAUAUGGUAAUCAAACAUAUGAAAGAGUUUAUCGACUCUAUACAACAUGAUUUAGUUAACCGACUUUGGAAUGAAGAAGGCUAUGUUGAAGAAUCUCAAAUUGAGAAUUUAGUGGUAGAUUUAAUGUUGGGAUUUAUUAAAAAGAUGUUUUGAUCUUGUAAGCAUUAGUUUGUGUUUCAUACUUUUGUAAUUCCGUAUACUUGAACGGGUUGUUGGGUUGUUUAAUACUAGUUAACUUUUGUGGUGAGCAUGUGCAUUGGUGUGUAAUUGGAAUUAUAUUGGGAAAUGUUACUAAAAAUUCUGGAAUUUUGCA